GCUGAAAUAGCUCAGUUGGGAGAGCGUCAGACUGAAGAUUUGAAGGACCCUGGUUCAAUCCCAGGUUUUGGCA
Molecule: non-coding RNA, 73 nt
Organism: Ictalurus punctatus (channel catfish)
Lineage: Eukaryota; Metazoa; Chordata; Actinopteri; Siluriformes; Ictaluridae
Source: the annotation of a RefSeq genome assembly